Molecule: ribosomal RNA, 664 nt
Filed under: Eimeria ellipsoidalis
Lineage: Eukaryota; Apicomplexa; Conoidasida; Eucoccidiorida; Eimeriidae
Description: SSU rRNA
Rfam family: Eukaryotic small subunit ribosomal RNA
Source: RNAcentral
AUGCGCAUAUGCCUCCUUCUCUGGAGGGGCUGUGUUUAUUAGAUACAAAACCAACCCACUAUGUGGAGUCCUGGUGAUUCAUAGUAACCGAACGGAUCGCAUUUGGCUUCGGCCCGCGAUAUUUCUUUCAAGUUUCUGACCUAUCAGCUUUCGACGGUAGGGUAUUGGCCUACCGUGGCAGUGACGGGUAACGGGGAAUUAGGGUUCGAUUCCGGAGAGGGAGCCUGAGAAACGGCUACCACAUCUAAGGAAGGCAGCAGGCGCGCAAAUUACCCAAUGAAAACAGUUUCGAGGUAGUGACGAGAAAUAACAAUACAGGGCAUUUUAUGCUCUGUAAUUGGAAUGAUGGGAAUGUAAAACCCUUCCAGAGUAACAAUUGGAGGGCAAGUCUGGUGCCAGCAGCCGCGGUAAUUCCAGCUCCAAUAGUGUAUAUUAGAGUUGUUGCAGUUAAAAAGCUCGUAGUUGGAUUUCUGCUGUGGUCAUCCGGUACCGCCCGUAUGGGUGCGCACCUGGUUUGGCUCCGGCUUUCUUCCUGUAGCCGUCCGCGCUUAAUUGCGUGUACUGUGUUACGGAACUUUUACUUUGAGAAAAAUAGAGUGUUUCAAGCAGGCUUGUCGCCCUGAAUACUUCAGCAUGGAAUAAUAGGAUAGGACCUUGGUUCUAU